This 1076-nucleotide unclassified non-coding RNA is filed under the name Bombus terrestris (buff-tailed bumblebee). RNAcentral's name for it is "misc RNA ENSBTSG00005027001.1". Lineage: Eukaryota; Metazoa; Arthropoda; Insecta; Hymenoptera; Apidae. The record is from RNAcentral.
CACUGAAUAAGAAUAUGUUGACCGAUGCUAAUUGCUUCCGAACGGAGUGAAAAUACGAGAAAAAGAAGCAUAGAAGCCCCACCACGCACGUGUUUCCCAACCAUUCGUGGCCAAGGUCAGACAGGCCUUUUCCGCAUAACUAUUCCAUUGAAGAACCGACGAUACAUUGGGCCUGUCUUAGGCUUUAGGCUUAGGCUUAGGCUUUCCAGCGACAUUAUUUAUGGUUCGCCCAAUAUCUCUUAGGCCUUUUGCCCACGCUACUACGAUAUUAAUCCCAGCGAGAACUUGAAACUUCUCCGGUAGAAAUUCAUUGAAAAUGUUAAGCUCUCGUUACACGUGGAAAAUAGGAAAACACAAUAUGCCAGCUUUCGCCAGGCUUAAUGCGGCCAUUAAGCGGCAAACGAAGCUACGAAAUUCAACUCGCGACUGGAGAUUUAGCUAGCAGGUGCUUCGGAUUUAUGAGCAUUUAAUACGCAGACACCGAUGCCGUGGGCGCUCCAUCAACUUCCCGCGCGGCCAGAAACGAGAAUUAAUCGAAGCAACUUCAGCUAUUCCACCAUAGCUUCAGCGAACACCGAGCCAAGUUGACUGCUAAACCAACCGAAACUCGCGGGCUUGAGCCACGAAACUUUAGCCGCGAUUCACUGCAGGUGAUACCAUACGAUUACAACGCAAACAACGUUAACCUGUUAAUAAGAAAUUCGGUAGGUCAGCGUCGACGACGUUCAUGUGACAACGACUAUACCCAAAUCCACGCCAUUUCAUGCUACCUGACAGCAAACCAUUAGGUUUUGACCUGGUCUUUGCACACGGCCCAACAUUGCACUUUCCCUAUGACGUAGGACAAUCAGGAUCUUCCCCUCGCCCCUCAACACCUACAAACGCAACAUACAAAAACUGCUAGCAUUCGACCACGAGGCUGGUCUAGUGUACAGUUUGGCUGUGAUUUGAGCAACUAUUUUAACUUCGCUACUUCAUUGUAAUAUUGUACUUGAUCAUUUUCGCGAAUAAAAGCCUACAAAAGCCUAUAAAAGCAAGUUAAGUUAUUGCUCAACUACUCCUUUUUUUAUCCUUAA